This 113-nucleotide ribosomal RNA is filed under the name Acanthosepion pharaonis. Lineage: Eukaryota; Metazoa; Mollusca; Cephalopoda; Sepiida; Sepiidae. The record is from RNAcentral.
UACGGUCAAAUCACGCUGAAACACCGGUUCUCGUACGAUCACCGAAGUUAAUCAUCGUAGAGCCAGGUCAGUACUUAGAUGGGGGACCGCUUGGGAACACCUGGUACUGUAAG